UAUUAUCCCAAAGGGAAAUGUACUGGAUCUUUAAGUUUAAAACCUUUUCCCCUCAGGGACUUAAUGAAUCACUUAAUUUUAGCUGUUUCCUUUAAACCUUCAAGUACUCUUUAAAAACCUUUGAAUGAACCUCCAGAAUUACUCGCAGUUGAAAUCACCACAAGCAGAGUCACUCAGUGAAAGCAUUUAGCACUAUAUAGAAAUUCAUUGUUGCUGAGUUUAACAACUCCUGAAGAAGGGGUUUUUCCCUGAAACAGGGUCAAAAAUACCCGGGACCCCUGUAGACUUGGGACUUUAUUUGGACUUUACUUUUGAAGACUUUUUUGAGAGCGGUGCUCCAUCAUUAUUUUCUUCAAUCCAGUAUACAGCAACACGACCAACCAUCUGUUUGGAAGAUAUUUUCAUUGACUGUAUCCCUGAAGCCUAUAUGUAUUGGAACCAAUACCAGACUUGAACAACUUUUGUGUUAGA
Molecule: long non-coding RNA, 471 nt
Organism: Anolis carolinensis (green anole)
Lineage: Eukaryota; Metazoa; Chordata; Lepidosauria; Squamata; Anolidae
Exons: 2
Source: RefSeq, a predicted model, not a curated record